ACCCACCUCUAGUAGGCAAGUUGUAGGCAUAGUUCCCGAUACGUCCCCGUAGGUCCGGUUAGAUUCCGAGCUAUCGCCGCUCGGCUUUUUUGCAAGAUUUCCGCUGCCGAAGGAAAUUCUGCCGCCGUCGAUUCGUACGGACGUCGUUUCCGCUCCCGCGGAAUCUGUUUUUGUUUUCCGUCCGUCGCGUCCGAUUUUCGCCGCCGUCGUUUGUUAUCAACUACCGCCGCCGUGUCUUAUCGACGGGAGUGUUGAUCCCGUUCGCGGUUUCUUUUUUAUUUAUUUUUCGCCGUCCGUCAAGUCCGUUUUUUCUUUUCGUUUCAAACUUUUUUUUUGUGAAAUCUUUUUCAUCGCUUCAAUCGUAUUAUUUAAUUUAUGUUAUUACAUAUUCGAUUUGUUUUACCGAAAAUUAUUUAUCCGUUUUUCUUAUGUUGAUUUGAUGUGUAACGUUAUUAUUGAACGCCUACAUACAGCUGUGAAACGAAGAAAACAUAAUACGUUUAAAAUAUAGUUUGUUUUUUUAUCAGCGUUAAGUACGUUCAAUACGAUUUGUUUUGCCAAACGAUAUAGGGAGAUAGCUGUUGUUUUAUUUAUUUAUACUUUUUUUGAAUGGAAAGGAAUUGAAUUCACAGGGUCUUCGGUGCUAACGAUACUGUUCAAAACAUUCACAGCUAUAAAAUAACGAAUACUCGGUUAAUGAGUCUUACAACAUCAGUCGUUACACUUGGACGAAAGGAAAUUAAAACUUUUGUGAUGUAAUGUAAAUAAGAAAACCCGGGAGAGAGCUGUUGAAUGUUUUUGUUGCACUUUAUUCUUUGGAAUGGAAUAGAAUUCAACGUGUUAUUGGUGCUAAUGAUAAUCAAAUCAAACCCAGCUAUAAAAUAAAGAAAACUUGUGGAUUGCAGAUUAAUGAAAUAACGAAUGCUCAAACACCAGUGUAGUACUGUUGUACCCAAGAGUUUGGUUAUUAUUACACUUUUCUCCUAAUAUUAUAAGAAAAAUCUUGGUAUAGUUUAUUUAUUUAAACCGUAUCAUACUGAAACGUUUUAUAUAAUGAUAAAAAUAUUUUCUUUGAUUAUGUUAUGUUUCAUAUUUGUAUACAUUAUCUUCACAUAUUUUUUAAGCUUAAAAGCACAAAUAUGCUAUGAUUACAAGAAACUUCCACACUCUGUCUUUCAUAAAUUAUUUAUGUUUUUAUAUAUUCAUUCUGUAUAUUUUUUUUAAAUAUUGUCGAUGAGUACUUUUAUGUUCUAUGAAUGUGAGAAAGGGGUUGGCGACCUCCACGUGGUCUUUCUUGGAUGCGUUUUUCACUGAGAAUGAUUAUAGUGUAAAACGUAACUAACGCCAACAUUUAUAUAUACACACCUAUUAUAGAGUAUUCACUUAUUCUCAAAUUUUUUUUUUCAGUUAACAUCAAGGAAGGUCUUACUCCAUUUUUAUAGUUUUUUGUCUACAGACUCGCUUUGUAUAUAUAUUCAUUAUUUAUUAUUGAAAAAAUACUUUUUAUGCAUUAGGUCUUCUUACUUUGAACCGACUGUACUGUAUUUGAAAGGUUUUUUUAUAUUGAUAAUUUCAUAUCUAAAAAAAAUGUCAAGUUCUCUAGCGUUUAUGAUACUUAUAAAUUGUUGUAUCUAAAAUACUUUUCAUAAAAGUGUCCCUUCGGUAAGUUAAGUUAUGGAAGAAGACACAUAUAAUGCUUUUGUAAUCAUAAAUAUAUAUUUUAUUCUGUAAUUGAAAUAUCAAAAUCUAUAUGCAUA
Molecule: long non-coding RNA, 1757 nt
Organism: Sipha flava (yellow sugarcane aphid)
Lineage: Eukaryota; Metazoa; Arthropoda; Insecta; Hemiptera; Aphididae
Exons: 4
Source: RefSeq, a predicted model, not a curated record